CCUACGGGAGGCAGCAGUGAGGAAUAUUGGUCAAUGGACGAAAGUCUGAACCAGCCAAGUAGCGUGAAGGAUGACUGCCCUAUGGGUUGUAAACUUCUUUUAUAUGGGAAUAAAACGUUCCACGUGUGGGAUGUUGUAUGUACCAUAUGAAUAAGCAUCGGCUAACUCCGUGCCAUCAGCCGCGGUAAUACGGAGGAUCCGAGCGUUAUCCGGAUUUAUUGGGUUUAAAGGGAGCGUAGGUGGAUUGUUAAGUCAGUUGUGAAAGCUUGGGGCUCAACCGUUAAAUUGCAGUUGAAACUGGCAGUCUUGAGUACAGUAGAGGUGGGCGGAAUUCGUGGUGUAGCGGUGAAAUGCUUAGAUAUAACGAAGAACUCCGAUUGCGAAGGCAGUUCACUGGACUGCAACUGACACUGAGGCUCGAAAGCGUGGGUAUCAAACAGGAUUAGAUACCCUAGUAGUC
RNAcentral lists this ribosomal RNA (460 nucleotides) under uncultured bacterium. RNAcentral describes it as "partial 16S ribosomal RNA". It matches the Rfam family "Bacterial small subunit ribosomal RNA", at positions 338 to 795 of the family's 1533-position model. The record is from RNAcentral.